GAAAGCCUGACGGAGCAAGACCGCGUGGGGGAAGAAGGCUCUUGGGUUGUAAACCCCUUUUCUCUGGGAAGAAAGUUGUGAAAGCAACCUGACGGUACCAGAGGAAUCAGCAUCGGCUAACUCCGUGCCAGCAGCCGCGGUAAGACGGAGGAUGCAAGCGUUAUCCGGAAUGAUUGGGCGUAAAGCGUCCGCAGGUGGCAGUUCAAGUCUGCUGUCAAAGACCGGGGCUCAACCUCGGAAAGGCAGUGGAAACUGAACAGCUAGAGUAUGGUAGGGGCAAAGGGAAUUCCUGGUGUAGCGGUGAAAUGCGUAGAGAUCAGGAAGAACAUCGGUGGCGAAG
This 340-nucleotide ribosomal RNA is filed under the name uncultured cyanobacterium. Its description in RNAcentral is "bacterial SSU rRNA". It matches the Rfam family "Bacterial small subunit ribosomal RNA", at positions 377 to 720 of the family's 1533-position model. The record is from RNAcentral. Lineage: Bacteria; Bacillati; Cyanobacteriota.